GUGGGGAAUAUUGGACAAUGGGGGGAACCCUGAUCCAGCCAUGCCGCGUGUGUGAAGAAGGCCUUUUGGUUGUAAAGCACUUUAAGCGAGGAGGAGGCUACCGAGAUUAAUACUCUUGGAUAGUGGACGUUACUCGCAGAAUAAGCACCGGCUAACUCUGUGCCAGCAGCCGCGGUAAUACAGAGGGUGCAAGCGUUAAUCGGAUUUACUGGGCGUAAAGCGCGCGCAGGUGGCCAGUUAAGUCAAAUGUGAAAUCCCCGAGCUUAACUUGGGAAUUGCAUUCGAUACUGGUUGGCUAGAGUAUGGGGGAGGAUGGUAGAAUUCCAGGUGUAGCGGUGAAAUGCGUAGAGAUCUGGAGGAAUACCGAUGGCGAAGGCAGCCAUCUGGCCUAAUACUGACACUGAGGUGCGAAAGCAUGGGGAGCAAACAGGAUUAGAUACCCGUGUAGUCC
Molecule: ribosomal RNA, 451 nt
Filed under: uncultured bacterium
Lineage: Bacteria
Description: partial 16S ribosomal RNA
Rfam family: Bacterial small subunit ribosomal RNA
Source: RNAcentral